Salarias fasciatus (jewelled blenny) is the source of this 460-nucleotide long non-coding RNA. RefSeq lists it as uncharacterized. The transcript has 4 exons. Lineage: Eukaryota; Metazoa; Chordata; Actinopteri; Blenniiformes; Blenniidae. The record is from RefSeq and is a predicted model, not a curated record.
AGGUCUUCAGCGUUGACCGCACGUACUGGUAAUUACCACGGCUUUCAUCUGUCGUCAGUACUGUGCCUUGUGCUCAGCAGAAGCCACCAAAGACGAACCCGGCCGCCCCGUCGCCUUCACAGCCCACGAGCCACGCUUUGACCAACCGGCCGCUGCUCAGGCCGGAGGAGAGGCGCUAUCCGGUCAAGCAUUACAUCAAGGAGGCCAAACGGCUGAAGCACAGAGCAGACGCAGAGCCGGAUAAGCUCCGGAAGGCCUUCAGCUACCUGGAGGCGGCCAUGUUCUUUGUGGAGAGCGGCAUCGCCAUGGAGAAGGACCCGCAGAUUUCUACGUCCUCCUACACCAUGUUUGCGGAGACGGUGGAGCUCCUCAAGUUCGUGCUGAAGCUGAAGAGUUCAGGGGAGUCUUCCUCCUCUCCCUCAGAAAAGGACUUCUUGUCUCUAUGGUGAGAAGCAGAGGA